GAUGAACGCUGGCGGCGUGCCUAACACAUGCAAGUCGAACGAAGCACCUUACCUGAUUCUUCGGAUGAAAGUUUGGUGACUGAGUGGCGGACGGGUGAGUAACGCGUGGGUAACCUGCCCUGUACAGGGGGAUAACAGCUGGAAACGGCUGCUAAUACCGCAUAAGCGCACGAGGAGACAUCUCCUUGUGUGAAAAACUCCGGUGGUACAGGAUGGGCCCGCGUCUGAUUAGUUGGUUGGCAGGGUAACGGCCUACCAAGGCAACGAUCAGUAGCCGGUCUGAGAGGAUGAACGGCCACAUUGGAACUGAGACACGGUCCAAACUCCUACGGGAGGCAGCAGUGGGGAAUAUUGCACAAUGGGGGAAACCCUGAUGCAGCAACGCCGCGUGAGUGAAGAAGUAUUUCGGUAUGUAAAGCUCUAUCAGCAGGGAAGAUAAUGACGGUACCUGACUAAGAAGCUCCGGCUAAAUACGUG
RNAcentral lists this ribosomal RNA (477 nucleotides) under uncultured bacterium. Its description in RNAcentral is "partial 16S ribosomal RNA". It matches the Rfam family "Bacterial small subunit ribosomal RNA", at positions 28 to 507 of the family's 1533-position model. The record is from RNAcentral.